Tyto alba (common barn owl) is the source of this 1180-nucleotide long non-coding RNA. RefSeq lists it as uncharacterized. The record is from RefSeq and is a predicted model, not a curated record. The transcript has 3 exons. NCBI's taxonomy places the organism in Eukaryota, Metazoa, Chordata, Aves, Strigiformes, Tytonidae.
UCACAUGACAUCCUAAACAUUAUUUCAUAGAAGAGUUAAUUCAGCUUUCAGCAGUCUGCAGUCUGUGAAGCAAGGAGAAUAACUCCUGGCUGGUUUAUGGUUUAGAGCAUGAUUGAAUAUACUAACAGGGCUCCGUGAAGUACUCAUUUCAAUAUAUACAAUAUAUUUUUAAAUUAUUUAAUCUCUAUACAGGUCUUAUCCUCUAAAUAAGUGGAGCAUCUCUAUUUCCCUGAAAAAGCAGAGGCAGUAGAGCCCAAAAAUACUGAGACAGCACUGGUGAUCUGAAUCUUGGAAUUUUAUUCUCUGAUUCAACGUGUUACAAACAAACAUAUUCCACCUGUUACAACAAUCUGGCAUAUUACUUUCUUGAUACGUGAUGAUACAAUACCUCUCAGGUUUGCUGAGUAGCAAAGAGAAAUGGCAGUUUGAUGAUCAGUACCCAGCAUAGGAUAAGUAUUGUGGCUGUGUCUGUCUAGGAGAAAUCAGCCAAGAAUUCUAACAAUGUUCCAAAUCCUCUUCUCAAAGAUAUAAUCUGUAGAGAGCAUCUACUUCAUCUGACAAACAUGAUUUCAAUUCAGGAAAAAGCUCGGAAUCAUUCUAUUGGAUCUGACAUCAGCGGUAUCCACACAGCCAUUCUGUGCAAACUCCCUGCUUUUAAAGGUCUUCCCAUCACUGUUAUUGGUCUCACAGAUGAUGAAGUAUGACACUCCAUAAACAAUGAGCUGGGCCUUUUGUAGGCUGCUUUGCUUUUUUUGGCUUCAAACUGCCACUGAAUGUCAAAUCAAUUUGGCUCUCAUUAGAACAGCUUUAUAUGUGCAAAUGUAUUUGUGUCUGGUUGCCACUUUUUUCUAUUUUUGCCUUCUUUUCCCUUUGCUUUUUUUUCUCCUCUCCCUUAGAUGAUGUCAUUUUUCUCUAAUCAAAGCCAACACCUGUUUCUCUAAAAUGGGAGCCUCUGUGUAGAGCUCUUUAUCACAGUCUGAGUACACUCUGGAUGGGCUCAUUAUGAAUCAAGUUCCCCCAGAACAAAGAAGAAGUGCUCUGUUACAGUGACAUUGUACAUCAUAGAGUCUGGAUAAAGUCAAGAGCUGAUGUAACUUUGACUUUUGGCAUCCCAAGAGACUGUCUAGAUAGUACAAGGUGUGUAAGCCCCUGUCUUUGAUAAGUAAUGAACCAAACAAUA